This 253-nucleotide ribosomal RNA is filed under the name uncultured bacterium. RNAcentral's name for it is "partial 16S ribosomal RNA". It matches the Rfam family "Bacterial small subunit ribosomal RNA", at positions 524 to 776 of the family's 1533-position model. The record is from RNAcentral.
UACGGAGGGGGCUAGCGUUGUUCGGAAUUACUGGGCGUAAAGCGCACGUAGGCGGCUUUGCAAGUUAGAGGUGAAAGCCCGGGGCUCAACUCCGGAAUUGCCUUUAAAACUGCAUCGCUAGAAUUGUGGAGAGGUAAGUGGAAUUCCGAGUGUAGAGGUGAAAUUCGUAGAUAUUCGGAAGAACACCAGUGGCGAAGGCGACUUACUGGACACAUAUUGACGCUGAUGCGCGAAAGCGUGGGGAGCGAUCCGG